AACAACUUGUAACAAGCUUGAUGGCAUUAUCAGACGUGUUACAAGGUUGUUCUAACGAGUCCGAUACAGUCAUGAUAUAGCAAGAAUGUUACAAGGUUGUAACAAUAUUGUUAUAUCAUGACUGUAUCGGAACAACCUUACAACAAGUCUGAUAAUAUCAACAAGGUUGUUACAAGUUGUUGUC
Molecule: non-coding RNA, 184 nt
Organism: Paramuricea clavata
Lineage: Eukaryota; Metazoa; Cnidaria; Anthozoa; Malacalcyonacea; Plexauridae
Source: the annotation of a GenBank genome assembly